RNAcentral lists this ribosomal RNA (869 nucleotides) under uncultured haloarchaeon. RNAcentral describes it as "bacterial SSU rRNA". It matches the Rfam family "Archaeal small subunit ribosomal RNA", at positions 52 to 922 of the family's 1478-position model. Lineage: Archaea; Methanobacteriati; Methanobacteriota; Halobacteria; Halobacteriales; Halobacteriaceae. The record is from RNAcentral.
UGCUAGUCGCACGGGUUUAGACCCGUGGCGGAUAGCUCAGUAACACGUGGCCAAACUGUCCUAUGGAUCGAGACAACCUCGGGAAACUGAGGCUAAUCUCGAAUAAGGCUUCCACUCUGGAGUGAGGGAAGCUGGAAAUGCUACGGCGCCAUAGGGUGUGGCUGCGGCCGAUUAGGUAGACGGUGGGGUAACGGCCCACCGUGCCGAUAAUCGGUACGGGUUGUGAGAGCAAGAGCCCGGAGACGGAUUCUGAGACAAGAAUCCGGGCCCUACGGGGCGCAGCAGGCGCGAAAACUUUACACUGCACGACAGUGCGAUAAGGGGACUCCGAGUGCGAGGGCAUAUAGUCCUCGCUUUUGUACACCGUAAGGUGGUGUACGAAUAAGGGCUGGGCAAGACCGGUGCCAGCCGCCGCGGUAAUACCGGCAGCCCGAGUGAUGGCCGCUAUUAUUGGGCCUAAAGCGUCCGUAGCCAGCCAGACAGGUCCGUCGGGAAAUCCAUCCGCUUAACGGAUGGGCGUCCGGCGGAAACCAGCUGGCUUGGGGCCGGAAGACCUGAGGGGUACGUCCGGGGUAGGAGUGAAAUCCCGUAAUCCUGGACGGACCGCCGGUGGCGAAAGCGCCUCAGGAGGACGGACCCGACGGUGAGGGACGAAAGCUAGGGUCACGAACCGGAUUAGAUACCCGGGUAGUCCUAGCUGUAAACGAUGCUCGCUAGGUGUGGCGCUGGCUACGAGCCAGCGCUGUGCCGUAGGGAAGCCGAGAAGCGAGCCGCCUGGGAAGUACGUCCGCAAGGAUGAAACUUAAAGGAAUUGGCGGGGGAGCACUACAACCGGAGGAGCCUGCGGUUUAAUUGGAUUCAACGCCGGG